CAAAGAUGAAACUGCAGAAACUCAGCUUUGGGGCAUGUUGGUCUCACCCCAGAUAACAUUCCUUUGAGCUAUGGGCACACCCGUGUCUGCGAGGGGGCUGAAGAGCAGGGCACCAUUGCCAUAUGGAACAGAACAAUGAAGUCUAUCACCCCAGUAUUCAUCAGCAUUAUCUUCCUCCAUACUGAGAUUUAAUCCGCAAGUGUCCUGAUUAUUUUUAUCUAGUUUGCAGACUGAAUUCAUUUAUAAGAGCUUUCUAAUUGGAUGCUGGUUUCUCAGAAGCAAAGAAGUAAAGACACAAAAGGUAAAUUCCAAUAAUAAGAUGCCUUUUAACCACAAAGUGUCAAUACUGAUAGAGACUUUCAGGAUUAUUUGGUGUACCUCUUCAUUUUAUCAGUAAAGUGAUUUGGCCAAUGUUACAUGGCUAUGUAGUGGCAGAGAAAGGACAUGACCUUGGAGUUAAGGGAACCAACUGUCCUGGUUUGCCCAAAACCAAGGGAGUCUUGAGACAUGAAACUUUUUGUUUUUAAAGCAGGACAAGCCGAGGCAAUCUGUCUAUAUUUGCCUGGGACUGAGAUGUUUCCUAGGAUAUGGGACUUUUGUGCUAAGAUAGGGAAAGUCCCAAAGUGGGAGCAGUUGAUCACCCUAAAUCCAGUGCUCUCUUCACUACGUAAAUCUUCUCCUUUUUUACCAGUCCCAUAAAAUGUUACAACUUCUACCCUCAAAUUAAUCCCAGCAAGAGCCCAGUGAUAAGAAAUGCAGUUUGAUAGUUAUUGCAUUGCUGCAUCCCCUCUAAUAGGAUAAAAUUUUAUCCAUUAAUUAUAACACAUAAAUUAUCAAAAUCAGAGCCUCAAGAAUCACUAUAUAUUUUUAAAAAUGAAUUUGGGGGUCUUUAAAUAAUUACACUUUAAGAAAAACUCAAAAGGAGGCAAAUGAGUAUCAUGAAAAUGAGCAUUAGGAAGCCAGUCCUUGUUUAAGUAGCAAAUUAUUAUUAUAUGUCCGAACUAAUCAAGUUGUCACUGCUAAGAACAGAAGGCCACAGUAGGCUCACAAAGUUAUGCUAAUUAUCCUAAGAGUCAAUUCAGAAUGCAACCAUUACUCAGGAAGCACUCCUCUGACUCUGUAAUUGGCCUACAAUUCCUGUGAUUCCAGGGAAGACUUCAGAGUCUGUGUUUAAAACUCUUACAGCACUUCCCACAAAAGGGAGCUGGAACUGCUAUUUCAGGUGCUUUGAGGGGCUUUGGGAUUCUGGGUACAUGAGAUCUCCAUUAAUAACUAAGUUAGUUUUCUUCCCUUGAACAUCCAUCAACAACCUCUCAAAACCAGGCUAUUAGGGAUAUUUGGCAGGAAAUUGUUGCUGGAUUAGACCAAUCCUGUAUCUGUGAAGUAAUAGAUUGAUAGAUUAACUAACCAGACACUUUGUCGGACACUUCAUACACAGACAUUCAUAUCCUCACGACCAUUCUUCAAGGUGAUUGUCAUUAUCCCACAUUUAUAAGUGAGGAAGCUGAAGCUCUGUGCACCCACUCACUGGCUCCAAGACCACAGAGCUAGUGGGUAGGACAGCCAGUUUGAGUUUGGGUCUCUCUAGUCUCUUUCUGUGAGUUGAUGUCUUCCCUGACAUACUCAUCAUCCGACAAGCUGCUCAGCUCCCAUGCUCUGAGAAGGUUGGGUUUGUACAGGAUAACUUGUAUCAUACUGAGCGUGUGGACGCAACUCUCAUGGGCAAAGGGAAAAGGCAAAUUGCCCUACUAAAAGGAAAGGAAAUUGCACCUUACAGUUAAAGAGAGAAAAGGUUAACAUAUUUGCCAAAACCUUACACACUCACUAAAAAAAAAAAAAAAGAAUAAAUCAAUUAAGGCAUUUUGCAAUAUAGCUACAGUUAACAAACUAUAAAAUACAAUGAACUUAAUUUGAUCUGCCAUUUAAAAAUCUCUUCCCCAGUUAUGGGUGGCUAAUGUCCCCAGACAAAUUCCUACAGUCCAAAAGAACAAGUACCUGCAGUCCAAGGAACAAAAUCUCUUGUCCCACUUAAAGUGGUUCUCUGGACAUUUAGACUUUUAGGGGAAAUAUAAUAAGAGACAACAAGCAAAUUAUAACUCACCAGGUGACAGGAAUGGAAACCUGGAAUAUAUGCUUUCCUGAAAACAACUGACAACCUUUGGCAUUCCUCCUUUUUUAUUUUCUCCCUUCAAAAACGCAACAAAAUAAAGCCAAAAAAAAACUUCCAGUAAUUUCAGCUGGAAAAUGAACACUCCAGAUCGCUCUCCUUCUCAAGGAUGAUGAUGAUAUGAUUCACCACCUCCUUACCUGGUUUGUAUGAGUAAAAUCAUCAAGUACAUGUUCUCGAUAUUUAUAAAGACAAAUUUACGAUUCAAUGGGCGAUGCUGCACACAGCCAAAGGUUUCAAUGCCCUAGCUCUUAAUAAAUCCCCUUGAGUCUUUGAAGCUUUUACAGCAUGAGCAUCUAAAUAGCAAGUCCUCAGCCUCAUGGGAUUAAGCACUAUUCAUUUCCAACCCCGAGUUCUUGUCCUGCCGACUUUUCCAUUUGUGCGUUGGCCAGGUGUUUCUGCCUCCUUUGUCCCAGCAGAGCUCUCGGGAUAGACUUCUCUGUCAUCAUUCAGUAUCUCCCUCCCUGCAGCAGGUCCACUGGUGAAGACAGGGCCUUUGAGAAAGCCAGGAAGCAUGUCCAGAAUUCCUACAAAUUCUACCAUUUUGUACAGAAAUUACAUGACUAUUUUUAAAAACAAGAUUUGAGAAUUACAAAUUCAGAAUUAUCAGGAGUUCUCACCGGACAAAAUUGAAAGCAGGACAGUGGAGGGAAAUUUCCUACACUCUAAAUAAUUGGAAGUGUAAUCUUAUAAAAAGAUAAUUUAAAAAUGAUUCAUCUUACUUCUAAAAGGGCUCACAGAAAAGCUCUUAAAAAGCAAUUCUCCCCAGUCCAUUGCAAAUACAAUUCACAUCUCAAUUCAG
RNAcentral lists this long non-coding RNA (2969 nucleotides) under Homo sapiens (human). RNAcentral describes it as "HSALNT0030621". Lineage: Eukaryota; Metazoa; Chordata; Mammalia; Primates; Hominidae. The record is from RNAcentral.